Long non-coding RNA from Homo sapiens (human), 572 nucleotides. RefSeq lists it as uncharacterized. The transcript has 3 exons. The record is from RefSeq and is a predicted model, not a curated record. Lineage: Eukaryota; Metazoa; Chordata; Mammalia; Primates; Hominidae.
AGCCACUACACCCAGCCAAAACACCUAUUGUAUACAGGCCUGGGCUAAAGGCUGAGAUGGCCCCGCAAAUAAGGAUCAUCAGGGCCUCCUCAUGAGGGUCUGGCCGCUUCAUGAACACUUUCCCGCCAUCCUUCCUGUGGGCAUUGGAGUACUGUGGUGGGUUGACACUGAGUCUCCCUUUCCCAUCACAUAGUUUGACAGUAGGAAACUUCCUCCUCCUCCACCACCCCCUAUCAUUAUAAAUGAGAAUCCAGGGAGAAGCAGAGACUGGCCUGAAGUCCUACAGCACAACCUAGACAACAGCAGGGCCUCAUCUGGACUCAUCAGUAUAAAGAAACUCCCUCCCUAACAGGAGCUGGGCAGGGCGCUUCAACCCAGAUCAGCCAAGAGCAUCUCUAGCUGUGAAGAGACCCUCAUCCUUUGUCCAGCCUCCAGCAGACAUCCAGAUGGGACACACCACCCCAUGACCCUGGCUGUGAGAAGCUCUCAGGUCACCCUGUACAAGUGUGUGACUUGGGUGUACAUGCUGUGCCUGCUGUCUGCAAAUGACCCACCCCACACCAUCCCUACCG